This 229-nucleotide ribosomal RNA is filed under the name uncultured bacterium. RNAcentral's name for it is "partial 16S ribosomal RNA". It matches the Rfam family "Bacterial small subunit ribosomal RNA", at positions 568 to 796 of the family's 1533-position model. The record is from RNAcentral.
UGCGUGGGCGGAAUAUUAAGUCAGUGGUGAAAUCCUGCAGCUUAACUGUAGAACUGCCAUUGAUACUGGUCUUCUUGAAUAUAGUUGAGGUGGGCGGAAUGUGUAAUGUAGCGGUGAAAUGCUUAGAUAUUACACAGAACACCGAUUGCGAAGGCAGCUCACUAAACUAUCAUUGACGCUGAGGCACGAAAGCGUGGGGAGCGAACAGGAUUAGAUACCCUGGUAGUCC